AAGUCAUUUUAGAAUGUCUAGCA
This 23-nucleotide non-coding RNA is filed under the name Arabidopsis thaliana (thale cress). Lineage: Eukaryota; Viridiplantae; Streptophyta; Magnoliopsida; Brassicales; Brassicaceae. The record is from RNAcentral.